GGAGCACUGUUACAAUGGGCAGCUGAUGCGUCGGAAGAUGCCACGUCUAUCGAUGCUUUUGAGAAAAUUAAGAGGUAAUUUUAGGAGAGGGGAAUGUAUCGAUGGAUUUAGGGUUUUUUUUUUUUUUUUUAAAUUUAUUUAUCAAAAAAAAAUUUCUUUAAUUUUUUUCAUGACAUUUUCAAGUUUUUUCUCGGCCAUUCGUCCUAAACCACCAAGAUAAUAUUUUUUCCUCUAAUUACUUUCAUGAUUUAAAUACCAUCUCAAAAAUAAAAAAAAUUAUAACAGAAAUAUGAUUCUGUCUUUUUAAUUUUUUUCAUUUAAAAAAAAAAUUACCCAAAAAAAUAUUACAUAAACCGAUUUAUUUUAAGUUUUAUUUUUAUUCCCCCAACUAAAUACAUUUGUUUUUCCUUUUAUCUAUCAUAGUACACUAACCAAAAUGCUCAAGAAAUUGUCAAAGCAAAUUACAAGAACUCUUUGUUCAACUGGUAUUAUUACAUAGCAUAUUCCAGGGGACUGCCCCAUGUACAGAAUGGAUCAUACUGAAACUAGUAAAAAUGCAAAAAAAGUUGCAGGGACAGAAGAACCUAGAGAGAUAGGUACUCGUCGCUGCAUCUGAAGGGCUGCCCAGAAAUAACAUUAAGUUUAUCCACAGGCGCAACUAUUCCAGCCAAACGCAAUAAUAUAGUGGCGUUGUUAAUAUUUUUAUAAGCAGUAAUCAUGUCCGUGUGUGCUUCAAUAUCAUGAAUAAGGUUAAAGACUUUUUCUUUGCGCAGUUAUAAACUCAACAAUCAUGAUUGCAGCUGCAACGAACAGUGGCAGUGAAGGGCCUGCGAGUAGCUCUGCAAUUUGUGAAUCAUCCAAUAACAGAACCUGUUCCCACAGUAGCUUCACCAGCUCAAGAACUUGUGUGUGCAUCAGCUUUUUGUCAUAAUCUGCCCUGAUUCCUGGAAUGUAUAAGAAAAUAACUCAGAAAAUGAACUUGUUAAUGUGAACUCAAUGAGCUUAUCAUAUACAUAGGCAUGGCAAUCAGCAUCGUACCAUUCAUUUGUAUUGCACGGAAAAGUUGUCCCACUAACCUGACAGAUCAUGUCAUGAUUCAAGAACCCAGAUUUUUCAUUAAUUCCAAACCUUAUUUCAAUACUUUGAAAGUAAUUAGUUUGAUGAUCAUUACUGUAACUGGCAAAAUCUCUAAAAAUAUAUAUUAAUAAGAUUGGG
This 1215-nucleotide long non-coding RNA is filed under the name Populus tremula. RNAcentral describes it as "long non-coding RNA (PTRE_LNC000765)". The record is from RNAcentral. Lineage: Eukaryota; Viridiplantae; Streptophyta; Magnoliopsida; Malpighiales; Salicaceae.